GUGGGGAAUAUUGGACAAUGGGCGCAAGCCUGAUCCAGCCAUGCCGCGUGGGUGAAGAAGGUCUUCGGAUCGUAAAGCCCUUUCGACAGGGACGAUGAUGACGGUACCUGUAGAAGAAGCCCCGGCUAACUUCGUGCCAGCAGCCGCGGUAAUACGAAGGGGGCUAGCGUUACUCGGAAUUACUGGGCGUAAAGGGCGCGUAGGCGGCUCUGUUAGUCAGGCGUGAAAUUCCUGGGCUUAACCUGGGGACUGCGCUUGAUACUGCAGGGCUUGAGGCCGAGAGAGGGUGGUGGAAUUCCCAGUGUAGAGGUGAAAUUCGUAGAUAUUGGGAAGAACACCGGUGGCGAAGGCGACCACCUGGCUCGGUUCUGACGCUGAGGCGCGACAGCGUGGGGAGCAAACAGGAUUAGAAACCCUUGUAGUCC
RNAcentral lists this ribosomal RNA (425 nucleotides) under uncultured bacterium. RNAcentral's name for it is "partial 16S ribosomal RNA". It matches the Rfam family "Bacterial small subunit ribosomal RNA", at positions 354 to 796 of the family's 1533-position model. The record is from RNAcentral.